This 472-nucleotide ribosomal RNA is filed under the name uncultured bacterium. RNAcentral's name for it is "SSU rRNA". It matches the Rfam family "Bacterial small subunit ribosomal RNA", at positions 26 to 518 of the family's 1533-position model. The record is from RNAcentral.
AGGACGAACGCUGGCGGCGUGCUUAACACAUGCAAGUCGAGCGGAAAGGCCCUUCGGGGUACUCGAGCGGCGAACGGGUGAGUAACACGUGAGUAACCUGCCCCUAGCUCUGGGAUAGCUCCGGGAAACCGGGAUUAAUACCAGAUACGACCACUUUAGACAUCUGUCGUGGUGGAAAGGAUUCCGGCUAGGGAUGGGCUCGCGGCCUAUCAGCUUGUUGGUGGGGUAACGCCUACCAAGGCGACGACGGGUAGCCGGCCUGAGAGGGCGACCGGCCACACUGGGACUGAGACACGGCCCAGACUCCUACGGGAGGCAGCAGUGGGGAAUAUUGCGCAAUGGGCGAAAGCCUGACGCAGCGACGCCGCGUGGGGAUGAAGGCCUUCGGGUUGUAAACCCCUUUCAGCAGGGACGAAGCGAAAGUGACGGUACCUGCAGAAGAAGCGCCGGCUAACUACGCGCCAGCAGCCGC